UGGGGAAUUUUGGACAAUGGGGGAAACCCUGAUCCAGCCAUCCCGCGUGUGCGAUGAAGGCCUUCGGGUUGUAAAGCACUUUUGGCAGGAAAGAAACGUCAUGGGUUAAUACCCCGUGAAACUGACGGUACCUGCAGAAUAAGCACCGGCUAACUACGUGCCAGCAGCCGCGGUAAUACGUAGGGUGCAAGCGUUAAUCGGAAUUACUGGGCGUAAAGCGUGCGCAGGCGGUUCGGAAAGAAAGAUGUGAAAUCCCAGGGCUCAACUUUGGAACUGCAUUUUUAACUACCGGGCUAGGGUGUGUCAGAGGGAGGUGGAAUUCCGCGUGUAGCAGUGAAAUGCGUAGAUAUGCGGAGGAACACCGAUGGCGAAGGCAGCCUCCUGGGAUAACACUGACGCUCAUGCACGAAAGCGUGGGGAGCAAACAGG
Molecule: ribosomal RNA, 429 nt
Filed under: Acidobacteriota bacterium
Lineage: Bacteria; Pseudomonadati; Acidobacteriota
Description: Acidobacteria bacterium partial 16S ribosomal RNA
Rfam family: Bacterial small subunit ribosomal RNA
Source: RNAcentral